Rhinopithecus roxellana (golden snub-nosed monkey) is the source of this 1043-nucleotide RNA transcript. It is a transcript of the gene named protein LSM12 homolog pseudogene, with no coding region annotated. NCBI's taxonomy places the organism in Eukaryota, Metazoa, Chordata, Mammalia, Primates, Cercopithecidae. The record is from RefSeq and is a predicted model, not a curated record. The transcript has a single exon.
CGGCCGCGGCUGCACUCCCAAGAUGGCGGCUCCUCCGGGCGAGUACUUCAGCGUUGGGAGCCAGGUGUCGUGCCGGACGUGCCAGGAGCAGCGGCUGCAGGGCGAGGUGGUAGCCUUUGACUACCAAUCCAAAAUGCUGGCUUUAAAAUGUCCCUCUUCCAGUGGAAAGCCCAACCAUGCAGACAUCUUGCUCAUAAACUUACAGUAUGUUUCAGAAGUGGAAAUAAUUAAUGACCGAACAGAAACCCCUCCUCCCCUAGCUUCACUCAAUGUUAGUAAGCUUGCCAGCAAAUCACGGACAGAGAAGGAGGAGAAGCUGAGCCAGGCCUAUGCAAUCAGUGCUGGUGUCUCUCUAGAGGGCCAGCAGCUCUUCCAGACCAUUCACAAGACCAUUAAAGACCGUAAAUGGCAAGAAAAAAACAUCGUAGUCAUGGAAGAAGUUGUUAUUACACCCCCAUAUCAAGUGGAAAACUGUAAAGGCAAAGAGGGGAGUGCACUGAGCCAUGUACGCAAAAUAGUUGAAAAACAUUUUAGAGACGUGGAAAGCCAAAAGAUACUGCAACGUUCACAAGCCCAGCAACCACAGAAGGAGGCUGCCCUGUCAUCCUGAGUCCGUACACAUGGAGGACUCUUCCAGCAUCCAGCCAAGGAGGCGCUGGUGGUGGCUUCAGCGGAGGCAGGCCGGGGGAGGGAAGGGAUCCUAUAUGUCCUGUUGGCUCUUAACAAAGGGUCAGCAUUUCCAAAUCUUAGACUUGAACAAACAAAACACCCAACAAAAAAGAACAAGAGAAUAAUUUAAAAGUUGAAUCAUGACUUGACUAACAGACUUCGGUCCACCAUGUCCUUUUCACAGCCCUCUUCUGGAACAGUCACCUUGUUAAUUUUAUUUUUGAAAAUUCUUUUCCCACUCUGCCCUUUUACUUCUGACUUUCCUUUCCUAGUCUGUUCCUGCCAUUCUGUUUUUAUAAGUGGCUACACUUGCCUUCUGAAUGAUUGAAAGAAACUUUUACAUCUUUUCUUCCAAAAUAAAAGUAACAAGCUGA